CGAUGACGUCACACAGACAGCUGUGAGGUAUAAACACCAGACUGCAGGCAGGAACACUAAGAAGCCAGGCUCUGGUGCAAGACAGCACAGCGGUGCGAAGCUGAGAGCGGAGAGAGAGGAUGUGCAGUAUGCCAGUCUGGAGUUCGACCGGCAAGGACGACGGUGAUGAUGUCACCCCCACGUGGAAUGAGAUACACCUGUCUCGUGGGACAAUCAACUGUGUUCCUCCACACCUGGGGCUUUCUGGGAGCUGAUAUAUAGUAAUACGCUAUAGAUUCAAUAAACUGGUUCCCUUUUCUUCUGUUGAAACCUGGUUCUUGGCUUGUAUGUUAUAUAAUACAUUUUGUCCAGGUAUUCAUGCUUAUAAUGAGGAUCACAGAGCUACUCCAUACGAGCUGACCUGUAUAGCGGAACUCAGAGUAAAGAAAUGAAGCUACUUCCUGUUUAAACUCUAUCUGGACAGGUAGCAUUCUGAAGAAAUAAAGACUCAGUUAUAAACUUAAAAAAUAGUGUUUCUCAUUUUAAAAUGUAAAUAAAAAAACCCUGUCCUGUCCUUAAUUAGCUUCAGUCAAGCUUUCCCCUGCACCUCUGGCCAUGGAGGACAGCAUAUGGUACUUCACAGGCUUUUGAUAAAAACAUAUGAGAAGUGAAAAGUUCAACUACACAAUGAUAAGGGGGGCAGUGAUAACACUGAAGCUAAUAUAAGGAAAGCGAUUUUAAAACUACACUCGCCUUCAUUUCCAGUCAACACUGGAGCAUGCAUUCUAAACAUUCUGCUUGGAAUUGUAAUGGGGAAACCCGUUCUCAACAACGAGGGCCCAUGUUUGCCAAGGAUGCCAGACAGUUCUCUGGUCUGCAAUCAUUGUUCUAAAACCAGAAAGAUUGGAUUAUUUGUUAUAAAUUAGUCAAAAACAAUAACGCACUGUUGUGAUGUAGGACCUGUAAUCAUAAAGAAUAACACACUGUGUUGUGAUAUAGGACCUGUAUCAAGGCUCCUGCGAACACAGCCCCCAGAUGAAAAAUCUAAGUUACAUUCUUUUGUGAAAAUGAUUCAUCUCCACGAUCUAUGCUGCAGUGCGCCCGGAGCCUGCCUAGAAAUCCAGCCCUGCGAUUAGUCAUGCUGUGCUGAGCGCGGAGAAGGCGCUGUGAGAGUUUACCAGAGUUUACCAGUUAAAAUCAAUCUUAUGUACUGGAAUAUUGGUAUUAGAAAUUGCGUUUUGCAGCAUACCAUGAAGUCAUUGCUCAAAGCUAGUUGUAGUCUAGGCUAUGUAUUACUUUAGUUCAUCCAGUGACAGUGUGGAUAUUGGAAGGCAGUAAUGUAACAUCCUGUAAGCUUGCUUAAAACUGCAAUCACUGUCUGCACAAUCAACUGCUUACAUGGUGAGG
This is a long non-coding RNA of Acipenser ruthenus (sterlet), 1386 nucleotides long. RefSeq lists it as uncharacterized. The transcript is spliced from 3 exons. NCBI's taxonomy places the organism in Eukaryota, Metazoa, Chordata, Actinopteri, Acipenseriformes, Acipenseridae. The record is from RefSeq and is a predicted model, not a curated record.